Molecule: long non-coding RNA, 748 nt
Organism: Ctenocephalides felis (cat flea)
Lineage: Eukaryota; Metazoa; Arthropoda; Insecta; Siphonaptera; Pulicidae
Exons: 7
Source: RefSeq, a predicted model, not a curated record
GGGAUGUCAUCAUGGCAUAAAUUCAUUUUCUCAUCGGAGUUACUUGAAGAAGCAUCGUGGAAUACAGAGGCCCCCUUACCAAUUGCUGCCUGGAGGAUAAUUUGAUCAGAAGAAUUGCAUAUGUUGGAGCACAAUCUUUAUGUUAUCAAGAAUUUUGAAGAACGGCUUUGUGCUCAUACACUAUUUUAUUCAUUUACUAGAAGGAAAUGGCACAGAAUAGUUCUUAGAAUUUGAUUGAAAAUGAAGAUGCAGAUAAAGACUAUUUUGUGCUUCUCUGGAGCAACUGCAUAGUUCACGAAAGCAGCUUUGGUGCAUGUACGUUUGAAUUUGUGGCAUUUUGUGCAGAGUCUUUCAGUUUUUGUCACUGUAAUGCACUAAUUGUGGUCUUACUGGAAUUGCAUUUGGCAUACAUGAUCGGACACUGUGAUUAUUACACACCGGUCAACUGGAAUGAUACGAUUAAAAUAUUUCGAAAGCAUCCAAAGUAUGAAUAACUUAGAAAUUUAUGGCAUUUUUAAGACCACAGAAACUCCUAAACGGGACUAAGAAGUAAGUUCAAAUCCUGGUUCAACAACCAAUUCAAAAAUGCAAGAAUAUUCAUUCCGACUACUUUACUAGAAAUCUCUCUAGAAACAUUACAUCAGGUCCUUUCAACUUCUGCUGCUCUGCACACUAACUCCUUCACCAGGAACAUUUAAUCAGGUCCUUUCAACUUCUGCUGCUCUGCACACUAACUCCUUCACCACGA